UAUACUCUUUUGCUUAACAAGAAGCUAUUAUUAUACCUAAAAUCUGGGUUUGUCUCCUGUCCUACUUGGGUGCCUGAUGAUUUUAGAUGAAAAAGAUUUCCUUUCUCUUAGUAGUCCCUUGUUUCCACUGGAGUUAAAGUUUAUAGAUACCAUUUUCUCCUAUGGCUGCAUUUUAUUGGAUUGUUAAUCUACAUCCAGUUUCAAAUGUCUGAAAGCUCUGUGACCCGAUGAACACGUUUACAUACCGUUGCCAGUCGCUCAUUUACAUACCGUUGCCUUGGCUCAUUUACACCUGCCAAAAGAUGAAUGAACACAAAUGCUUUCCAAAGGAUUAUCUGCAAAUGAUCCAAAAAUGUCUUUAUUAUGAAAAACGAGUUUGAAUCCAAUCUUAUCUGCGAAUUUUAUUACCUUUCUUCAAUGUUGAGAGCAACUUUUUGUGAGAGCAACUGGCUGAGGCUUAAAUAUGGGUUUUUUUUUUCAAAAAAGUUCUUGGUGUUUCCCAAUCAUAUACCAUCUUAUGUCAUCAAAUCAUGCCAUUUCUUCUUCCUGGACUGCUUUUGAAAGAUAAUGCAUCCUUCAAGCUUUACUGAGGUGCAAACAAGAAUUGGUCACUCUGUCCUUCAACUUAUCCGACUACCACCUGCUCCACCCACCCCAGCAUGUGGUCUACACACCCCUUUCAUGGUGUAUUUUCUUGUGUUUCUAGCUUGUAUA
Long non-coding RNA from Callithrix jacchus (white-tufted-ear marmoset), 714 nucleotides. RefSeq lists it as uncharacterized. The record is from RefSeq and is a predicted model, not a curated record. Lineage: Eukaryota; Metazoa; Chordata; Mammalia; Primates; Cebidae.